UGCUUCAAACAAGUCGCUCGGCAGCCCGGAGCCUGUUAACCCGUGCAUAAUGCCCCGCGUGGAGCAUCCCGGGCAUGUCGCGCGGCCACGCUGAUGCACUGCGGGCGGGCGCUGCGCGGAGCCUCCCCGGCCGCCGCCGCCGCCGCUCCGCUCGCCUCCCCGCGCCGCUCCGGACCCCGGAUUCCGCUGCUCGCCGCCGGCCGCCGGCCCUCCUCGCCGCCGCCUCCAGGCCCCCGUCUCUCGCGGGCGGAAUUCCAAAUGCCGGCGGGCCGCGGGUAUGCGGCCAGCGCCCGGAGAGGAGGCAGCGCGCGACCGCGGGGAGAGGCGCGGACCCGGAGGCUGGCAGGACGCUGGGGCUCCACGGGCCUUGCCUCUCCAACCCCCCCAACCCCCGCCUCCCGGAAGUAAGGCGAGACCCAGAGGGCGCCCAGGGAGCCGGCCUCCUCCCCUCCCCCCGCCUCCCCUCCCCGGGCUGCUGGGUGGGGGGAGGGGGCAGGGCGGGAGGUGGGAAGGGGGACCGGGACCCCGCGAAAGUUUCUUUUUGGCCAUUUGCGGAGGGAGCUGGGGGGAGGGGGGCUCGCGGAAGGUGGAGAACUGGCCCUGGGAGGGAGGACGUGACACCCCUCCCGGUGGAUGGCAGGGAGGCACUUGAUAAACUCCCAGGGUCCAGGUGUGGGGGUGGAGGCAGCAUUCCUUUGCCCGAAUUCUGCUCCCAGGUCACACUCGGCCUGGGGUCUCCAGAGGGGAGAUACGCAACGUGGGGAAGGUAAGGAGCCAUCUAAAACCACAGUGCGUCUGCCGCUGGCCAGCCGAGCGGUAGGGGAACAUUCCAGGGAGUGAGCAAGGAACCUAUCCUCGGAUGGAAGGGCCAGGCGUCCCUUGGAGACCCAGAGAACGAGCAACAAGUAGACCCCCUCCUCCCCCGAACUGCUGUCCCAAGGGUCUGUAUCUGAAGAAAGACAGCUGGGGUUCCAGGUAGGGCUGGCUGCUUGCAUUUCCUCUGGGCUGUGUGUGUGUGUGUGUGUGUGUGUGUUGCCCCAGGAUUUGCCAGAUGGAAGCACAGCUGGAGAUAGAGGUGAGAGCAAAGGAUUGGGGUUUCAGCUGCCUACCUCCUUUUCCUGAAAAUCCCCUGGAAGUCCGCUCCUGCUAGCAGGUGGGUGUGAUUUUGCCUGGUGUCAAGGAUCAAAUGGCCAGAACCUAUAUAAUCAGUGGUGCUAAAUCCUAUCAGGUUGGGAGGAAUGGAAAGGUCCAGGGGCCACCCCAGUGCACACAGCCAAGCUGGGACAGAGCCACAAGAAGGCGCCUUGUUCAGCCAACCUGGUGUCCCCAGGGCAGGCCAAGCUUAAGUACUCCUUGGAAGGCAUUUGAGAAGAAAGCAGCCUUGGGAAUGUCCCUCCUGGUAGAAUGUUCUCGACGGGUCAGCUCUGCAGCGGGAUGCAGGAUCCCCACAGAGACGAGAAAACUACAGAAGUCGGUCCAUACAGAGAGGACUUUUGGGAUUCAGCUACCAGUUGAUAUGAGCCUUGGGAUGGAUUUAACUUGCUGGGUGGCCUUUGGAAAACCAGGAGGUCCUCUGUGAUGUGAGAAUUCCCUUACCUCCAAGGCUGAGGCUGCUUCUUGGAGAUGCAAGAAUGGAGACCCUCUUUGGAUCCUGAGAAACCUGUGCCCUGUCCUGAAACCAGCUCCUGAGAAGGUGAGGGACACCUCCUACCCCCCAGCGCUGUCCACUGAUUCCCCCACACGGGAGAAAGGAAGACCUCAGUGGAGCCCGAGCCGGUGAAUUCAACAAGGAACUGUGCACCCGAAAAACCUCGGUUGGGGUUACUGGAUGCAAAAUCCUGAGUCUGGAGGCUGUUGACAAGGUUCUCCCCCUUCUUCAUAGACUACCAAAAAAAGAAAAGCUGGUAGAUGCUGAGGUCACAUGUGAAGCAAGUCCUACUUACCUACCCAGUGUUACUGGGUUAUUCCAUUUUCACUCCCCCUGCCUGAAUGGACAGCUGACCCUGACAUUUCCCAUACAAGCUUUUCUCUGCUUUCCUAAUCUGAUGGGAUAAUGAUGUCAUAAAGAAAUAACUAAAACAGUAGGUGCUUAAUAAAUGCUUUCUGGUGUGAAAUAAGGAAGACAGUCA
Mustela lutreola (European mink) is the source of this 2129-nucleotide long non-coding RNA. RefSeq lists it as uncharacterized. The record is from RefSeq and is a predicted model, not a curated record. Lineage: Eukaryota; Metazoa; Chordata; Mammalia; Carnivora; Mustelidae. The transcript is spliced from 4 exons.